RNAcentral lists this transfer RNA (75 nucleotides) under Candidatus Woesebacteria bacterium GW2011_GWF1_31_35. RNAcentral describes it as "tRNA-His". It matches the Rfam family "tRNA". Rfam says of the family: Transfer RNA (tRNA) molecules are approximately 80 nucleotides in length. RNAcentral also lists the same sequence under 1 other name. The record is from RNAcentral. Lineage: Bacteria; Candidatus Woeseibacteriota.
GUGGCUGUAGCUCAGUUGGUUCAGAGCGCUUCCCUGUGGAGGAAGAGGUCGGGAGUUCAAUUCUCCUCAGCCACC